This 704-nucleotide ribosomal RNA is filed under the name Staphylococcus sp. DBT24. RNAcentral's name for it is "bacterial SSU rRNA". It matches the Rfam family "Bacterial small subunit ribosomal RNA", at positions 68 to 754 of the family's 1533-position model. The record is from RNAcentral. Lineage: Bacteria; Bacillati; Bacillota; Bacilli; Caryophanales; Staphylococcaceae.
AACAGAUAAGGAGCUUGCUCCUUUGACGUUAGCGGCGGACGGGUGAGUAACACGUGGAUAACCUACCUAUAAGACUGGGAUAACUUCGGGAAACCGGAGCUAAUACCGGAUAACAUAUUGAACCGCAUGGUUCAAUAGUGAAAGGCGGCUUUGCUGUCACUUAUAGAUGGAUCCGCGCCGUAUUAGCUAGUUGGUAAGGUAACGGCUUACCAAGGCAACGAUACGUAGCCGACCUGAGAGGGUGAUCGGCCACACUGGAACUGAGACACGGUCCAGACUCCUACGGGAGGCAGCAGUAGGGAAUCUUCCGCAAUGGGCGAAAGCCUGACGGAGCAACGCCGCGUGAGUGAUGAAGGUCUUCGGAUCGUAAAACUCUGUUAUCAGGGAAGAACAAAUGUGUAAGUAACUGUGCACAUCUUGACGGUACCUGAUCAGAAAGCCACGGCUAACUACGUGCCAGCAGCCGCGGUAAUACGUAGGUGGCAAGCGUUAUCCGGAAUUAUUGGGCGUAAAGCGCGCGUAGGCGGUUUUUUAAGUCUGAUGUGAAAGCCCACGGCUCAACCGUGGAGGGUCAUUGGAAACUGGAAAACUUGAGUGCAGAAGAGGAAAGUGGAAUUCCAUGUGUAGCGGUGAAAUGCGCAGAGAUAUGGAGGAACACCAGUGGCGAAGGCGACUUUUCUGGUCUGUAACUGACGCUGAUGUGC